This 253-nucleotide unclassified non-coding RNA is filed under the name Uncultured Salinisphaeraceae bacterium. Its description in RNAcentral is "contains 16S-23S intergenic spacer region". It matches the Rfam family "Bacterial small subunit ribosomal RNA", at positions 524 to 776 of the family's 1533-position model. The record is from RNAcentral. Lineage: Bacteria; Pseudomonadati; Pseudomonadota; Gammaproteobacteria; Salinisphaerales; Salinisphaeraceae.
UACGGAGGGUGCAAGCGUUAAUCGGAUUUACUGGGCGUAAAGCGUGCGUAGGCGGUUUGAUAAGUCGGAUGUGAAAGCCCUGGGCUUAACCUGGGAAUUGCACCCGAAACUGUCUAACUAGAGUGUGGUAGAGGAAAGUGGAAUUCCAGGUGUAGCGGUGAAAUGCGUAGAUAUCUGGAGGAACAUCAAUGGCGAAGGCAGCUUUCUGGGCCAACACUGACGCUGAGGUACGAAAGCGUAGGUAGCGAACAGG